UCAUCAGUAAGGGAUAAUCCUUACCUGUCGCCUCUACGGAGGCGUCAGAGUAUUAUAUGAUGCACUGUGGAGGCUGAUGACACUUCGUGACUUAUACCUCCUGGUUUGAGAGACGCAACACCUCUCACUCCUGUUUGCUGAC
Small nucleolar RNA from Sycon ciliatum, 142 nucleotides. RefSeq annotates it as U8 small nucleolar RNA. Lineage: Eukaryota; Metazoa; Porifera; Calcarea; Leucosolenida; Sycettidae. The record is from RefSeq and is a predicted model, not a curated record. The transcript has a single exon.